Molecule: small RNA, 117 nt
Filed under: Klebsiella oxytoca
Lineage: Bacteria; Pseudomonadati; Pseudomonadota; Gammaproteobacteria; Enterobacterales; Enterobacteriaceae
Description: RtT sRNA
Rfam family: RtT RNA
About the family: This family represents a bacterial cis-regulatory element known as RtT RNA.
Source: RNAcentral
AUUCUCCCGAUGCAGGGAAGGAUGAGAAGCUUCGACUAAGGUUCGAGUCGAGCGUCAGCGAGACAACGUUGCCGCAGGGUGAGGAGCGAAGCGACGAAUAAUCCUUCCCCACCACCA